AUACGGAGGAUCCGAGCGUUAUCCGGAUUUAUUGGGUUUAAAGGGUGCGCAGGCGGGAGAUUAAGUCGGCGGUGAAAUUUUGCAGCUCAACUGUAAAAGUGCCUUCGAAACUGGUUUCCUUGGGUGUAGAUGAAGGAGGCGGAAUUUGUGGUGUAGCGGUGAAAUGCAUAGAUAUCACGAGGAACUCCGAUUGCGCAGGCAGCUUACUAAACUACUACUGACGCUCAGGCACGAAGGCGUGGGGAUCAAACAGGAUUAGAUACCCUGGUAGUCCACGCUGUAAACGAUGAUUACUAGCUGUUUGCGAUACAAUGUAAGCGGCUGAGCGAAAGCGUUAAGUAAUCCACCUGGGGAGUACGUUCGCAAGAAUGAAACUCAAAGGAAUUGACGGGG
RNAcentral lists this ribosomal RNA (393 nucleotides) under uncultured bacterium. Its description in RNAcentral is "partial 16S ribosomal RNA". It matches the Rfam family "Bacterial small subunit ribosomal RNA", at positions 523 to 918 of the family's 1533-position model. The record is from RNAcentral.